CGCAACCCUUGCCAUUAGUUGCUACGAAAGGGCACUCUAAUGGGACUGCCGGUGACAAACCGGAGGAAGGUGGGGAUGACGUCAAGUCCUCAUGGCCCUUAUAGGUGGGGCUACACACGUCAUACAAUGGCUGGUACAAAGGGUUGCCAACCCGCGAGGGGGAGCUAAUCCCAUAAAGCCAGUCGUAGUCCGGAUCGCAGUCUGCAACUCGACUGCGUGAAGUCGGAAUCGCUAGUAAUCGUGGAUCAGAAUGUCACGGUGAAUACGUUCCCGGGUCUUGUACACACCGCCCGUCACACCAUGGGAGCGGGUCUCGCCAGAAGUAGGUAGCCUAACCGCAAGGAGGGCGCUUACCACGGCGGGGUUCGUGACUGGGGUGAAGUCGUAACAAGGUAGCCGUAUCGGAAGG
RNAcentral lists this ribosomal RNA (409 nucleotides) under Comamonas sp. RE1-11a(A). RNAcentral's name for it is "bacterial SSU rRNA". It matches the Rfam family "Bacterial small subunit ribosomal RNA", at positions 1097 to 1512 of the family's 1533-position model. Lineage: Bacteria; Pseudomonadati; Pseudomonadota; Betaproteobacteria; Burkholderiales; Comamonadaceae. The record is from RNAcentral.